GAGGGAGGGGGGAGGGUGAGCGAACGGCUGUGUGGUGUUUAGCUGCCAGCCGGGUUAAACCACAACAGAUAUCAAGUGCUGAACUUUCUGUUUGUUCACAGAAAUGGGUUGCUUGCUUUUCUGCUUAGAUAAAAGAGAGGUUGACACACCUUGAUAGAUACAGAGGAUUUACGUUUCUUCUGAGAGGUCCCACAUAAGACAGCAGAGGAGCAACCAAGUUGGGAAUAAAGAUGCAGCUUCCUUAUUCAGUAAAGCUCUGGGACCCUUGGUGGGAGCUUCAUACAGAAGUGAAAUAUUCAUUAUGAAGCAAGAAGUGCAAGAAGGGAUGAUACACGGUGAUGAAAAGUACCCUGAGAAGGCAGUGGAACAUUAUGAUCUGAAAGAGAUGUUGCUGGACGAAGCUGGCACUACAUACAGACAGACUUCUCUCUCCUACUGCUGUGCAUCCUGGAAGCACUCUGCUGGAAGUGAUCCUACAGAUCCCAUAUGGCACUGAAGCCACAGUGAUGAAUGCUGAAUGCUCCUAUUAAGCGUACACCUAACUUUGGGGUGCAAGAUCUCCUAGUCAGACACAGCACUGACUU
RNAcentral lists this long non-coding RNA (584 nucleotides) under Anser cygnoides (Swan goose). Its description in RNAcentral is "lncRNA (ENSACDG00005011198.1)". The record is from RNAcentral. Lineage: Eukaryota; Metazoa; Chordata; Aves; Anseriformes; Anatidae.